This 100-nucleotide non-coding RNA is filed under the name Shouchella clausii KSM-K16. RNAcentral's name for it is "Bacillus clausii KSM-K16 TPP riboswitch aptamer (THI element)". It matches the Rfam family "TPP riboswitch aptamer (THI element)". Rfam says of the family: Vitamin B(1) in its active form thiamin pyrophosphate (TPP) is an essential coenzyme that is synthesised by coupling of pyrimidine and thiazole moieties in bacteria. The previously detected thiamin-regulatory element, thi box was extended, resulting in a new, highly conserved RNA secondary structure, the THI element, which is widely distributed in eubacteria and also occurs in some archaea. RNAcentral also lists the same sequence under 1 other name. Lineage: Bacteria; Bacillati; Bacillota; Bacilli; Caryophanales; Bacillaceae. The record is from Rfam by way of RNAcentral.
UACAACCACUAGGGGUGCGUUUAUGCUGAGAAAGGCGUUUAGCCUUAACCCUUUACCUGAUCUAGGUAAUGCUAGCGAAGGGAAGUGCGGUGUACAAUAG